Molecule: long non-coding RNA, 1145 nt
Organism: Chiloscyllium plagiosum (whitespotted bambooshark)
Lineage: Eukaryota; Metazoa; Chordata; Chondrichthyes; Orectolobiformes; Hemiscylliidae
Source: RefSeq, a predicted model, not a curated record
ACUAAUAUUGAAGUUGCAUUUGUUCCACCAAUCUGAUGAAGUCACACAGCUUUUGGUGGUGACUCGGACAGUGUUGCAGAAGGUGCCUGUGGAGAUAGAAGUGUCUUCUGUUCUUUAUAAUUGCAGUCUGCGGGAUCAAGGAUGACUCACUUCCACAUCAGGUCCAUGGGUUCUGAAAGAGUUGGUAAGGCCAAUACACAAGCUGCAGCCUCUGCCACACAUUGGCCGGGUGGUGCUUGAAGGGUCAGCUGGGAUCUACAAAGCCGCUGUGCUUGUGAAUUAUGACUCCUUGAUGGGGAACACUGACGGCAAUGGGAAAUGCAGCCAGCAUUACAAUAACCAGUAUCAUCACAUCAGCAGCAGAGCAUGAAUGAUUCCUGUUGUACCCUGGCCAAACAAUGCUGCCAAACCUGCUGACCUUUUCCAGCCAUUUCUAUUUUUGGCCCCCACCCCUAUCCUAUCCUUGUCACUCUACAUUCCCUUUAACUAGCCUACACAUCCCUGGAUACUAUGUGGCAGUCCACUUAACCUGCACAUUUUUAGACUGUGGGAGAAACUGGAGCACCCAGCAGAAACCUACUCAGACACGGGGAGAGCGUAGAAACUCCGCACGGACAGGCGUCUGAGGCUGGAACCAAACCCAGGUCCCCGGCACUGUGAGGCAGCCGUGCUAACCACUGAGCCACUGUGCCACCCUAAUCAACACUUAGCUAACAUUAAAGCCCUUCAGAACAUAAAGUUGAGAAAUAAAGGAACCAAGUUCUGAGUUACUGCCACCCCGAGCCGAGAGACUCACACGUGCGACCGAGAGAUCGAUGCAAGAGUCUGCCAUGGGCCAAGAGGAUGCCUUACCCGGUCCACGCUGAGGUUAGGAGUGAAGAUAAGGAGAAAGGAAACACCGAGAGAAAAUAGAAAAGACAAAGCAAUGAGGAAGAAACAGACUGAGCUACAGAAUCAUAGAAUCCCUACAGUGUGGAAACAGGCCAUUCGGCCCAACAAGUUCACACCUCUGGCUGAAGCGCCCUACUCUGCCACCAUCUUUGUGGAAACCAAGCAAUUAAUGUGUCUUGAUGCUGUUAAAGGCACCAUAUAAAUGCACAUUCUUUCUCCUCUACAGACCAAAUAUGAAAAUAAAUGUGAAUAAC